This 440-nucleotide ribosomal RNA is filed under the name uncultured bacterium. Its description in RNAcentral is "bacterial SSU rRNA". It matches the Rfam family "Bacterial small subunit ribosomal RNA", at positions 338 to 772 of the family's 1533-position model. The record is from RNAcentral.
CCUACGGGUGGCUGCAGUCGAGAAUCUUCCGCAAUGGGCGCAAGCCUGACGGAGCGACGCCGCGUGCGGGAUGAAGGCCUUCGGGUUGUAAACCGCUGUCAGAGGGGAUGAAAUUAUCGGGGGUUCUCCCCCGAUAUUGACAGAGCCUCAGAGGAAGCGCGGGCUAAGUUCGUGCCAGCAGCCGCGGUAAUACGAACUGCGCAAACGUUACUCGGAAUCACUGGGCUUAAAGGGUGCGUAGGCGGCCAAAAAAGUUGGGUGUGAAAUCCCUCGGCCCAACCGAGGAAUGGCGCCCAAAACUGCUUGGCUUGAGUGCGAUAGGGGUGUGCGGAACUUCCAGUGGAGCGGUGAAAUGUGUUGAUAUUGGAAGGAACGCCGGUGGCGAAAGCGGCACACUGGGUCGUAACUGACGCUGAGUGCACGAAAGCCAGGGUAGCGAA